RNAcentral lists this ribosomal RNA (468 nucleotides) under uncultured bacterium. RNAcentral describes it as "partial 16S ribosomal RNA". It matches the Rfam family "Bacterial small subunit ribosomal RNA", at positions 28 to 507 of the family's 1533-position model. The record is from RNAcentral.
GACGAACGCUGGCGGCGUGCUUAACACAUGCAAGUCGAACGGAAAGGCCCUGCUUUUGUGGGGUGCUCGAGUGGCGAACGGGUGAGUAACACGUGAGUAACCUGCCCUUGACUUUGGGAUAACUUCAGGAAACUGGGGCUAAUACCGGAUCGGCGCUCCUGCUGCAUGGUGGGGGUUGGAAAGUUUCGGCGGUUGGGGAUGGACUCGCGGCUUAUCAGCUUGUUGGUGGGGUAGUGGCUUACCAAGGCUUUGACGGGUAGCCGGCCUGAGAGGGUGACCGGCCACAUUGGGACUGAGAUACGGCCCAGACUCCUACGGGAGGCAGCAGUGGGGAAUAUUGCACAAUGGGCGGAAGCCUGAUGCAGCAACGCCGCGUGCGGGAUGACGGCCUUCGGGUUGUAAACCGCUUUCGCCUGUGACGAAGCGUGAGUGACGGUAAUGGGUAAAGAAGCACCGGCUAACUACGUG